GCCGGAGUGGCGAAAUCGGUAGACGCAGUUGAUUCAAAAUCAACCGUAGAAAUACGUGCCGGUUCGAGUCCGGCCUUCCGGCACCA
This 86-nucleotide transfer RNA is filed under the name Klebsiella michiganensis. RNAcentral's name for it is "tRNA-Leu(caa)". It matches the Rfam family "tRNA". Rfam says of the family: Transfer RNA (tRNA) molecules are approximately 80 nucleotides in length. Their secondary structure includes four short double-helical elements and three loops (D, anti-codon, and T loops). The record is from RNAcentral. Lineage: Bacteria; Pseudomonadati; Pseudomonadota; Gammaproteobacteria; Enterobacterales; Enterobacteriaceae.